UCAACCAACAGUGUCAGGAUCGGCAGC
This 27-nucleotide non-coding RNA is filed under the name Bombyx mori (domestic silkworm). Lineage: Eukaryota; Metazoa; Arthropoda; Insecta; Lepidoptera; Bombycidae. The record is from RNAcentral.